RNAcentral lists this ribosomal RNA (1693 nucleotides) under Euops politus. Its description in RNAcentral is "SSU rRNA". It matches the Rfam family "Eukaryotic small subunit ribosomal RNA", at positions 132 to 1648 of the family's 1831-position model. Lineage: Eukaryota; Metazoa; Arthropoda; Insecta; Coleoptera; Attelabidae. The record is from RNAcentral.
CAUUUACUUGGAUACUGUGGUAUUCUAGAGCUAAUACAUGCAAACAGAACUCUAACCGGAAACGGAAGGAGUGCUUUUAUUAGAUUAAAACCAAUCGGUGGCGGGUGUGUGUAUUCAUACACGCGCCCGUUAUCGUACAAUUUGGUGACUCUGAAUAACUUUGUGCUGAUCGCACGGUCUCGCACCGGCGACAAAUCUUUCAAAUGACUGCCUUAUCAACUGUCGAUGGUAGGUUCUGCGCCUACCAUGGUUGUAACGGGUAACGGGGAAUCAGGGUUCGAUUCCGGAGAGGGAGCCUGAGAAACGGCUACCACAUCCAAGGAAGGCAGCAGGCGCGCAAAUUACCCACUCCCGGCACGGGGAGGUAGUGACGAAAAAUAACGAUACGGGACUCAUCCGAGGCCCCGUAAUCGGAAUGAGUACACUCUAAACAUUUUAACGAGGAUCAAUUGGAGGGAAAGUCUGGUGCCAGCAUCCGCGGUAACACCAGCUCCAAUAGCGUAUAUUAAAGUUGUUGCGGUUAAAAAGCUCGUAGUCGAAUCUGUGUCCCGCGCCGCCGGUUCAUCGUCCGCGGUGUUAACUAGCGUGUUGCGGGACGUCCUGCCGGUGGGCUAUUAGCGCUUUGGUCCUUCACCACUUCACAAGAGUGGGCGAAAGGCUGAGGUGACGCCCAACUAAAUCCUGCCGCGGUGCUCUUAACUGAGUGUCGAGGUGGGCCGGCACGUUUACUUUGAACAAAUUAGAGUGCUUAAAGCAGGCUAAAACUUCGCCUGAAUAUUGUGUGCAUGGAAUAAUGGAAUAGGACCUCGGUUCUAUUUUGUUGGUUUUCGGAAUCCCGAGGUAAUGAUUAAUAGGAACGGAUGGGGGCAUUCGUAUUGCGACGUUAGAGGUGAAAUUCUUGGAUCGUCGCAAGACGGACCGAAGCGAAAGCAUUUGCCAAAAACGUUUUCAUUGAUCAAGAACGAAAGUUAGAGGUUCGAAGGCGAUCAGAUACCGCCCUAGUUCUAACCAUAAACUAUGCCAGCUAGCGAUCCGUCGACGUUCCUCCGAUGACUCGACGGGCAGCUUCCGGGAAACCAAAGCUUUUGGGUUCCGGGGGAAGUAUGGUUGCAAAGCUGAAACUUAAAGGAAUUGACGGAAGGGCACCACCAGGACUGGAGCCUGCGGCUUAAUUUGACUCAACACGGGAAACCUCACCAGGCCCGGACACCGGAAGGAUUGACAGAUUGAGAGCUCUUUCUUGAUUCGGUGGGUGGUGGUGCAUGGCCGUUCUUCGUUGGUGGAGCGAUUUGUCUGGUUAAUUCCGAUAACGAACGAGACUCUAGCCUGCUAACUAGGCGUAUUUUGACAUCUUAAAGGCUCGCCGGUAUUAGGUAGUUGUGGGUAUGUAUGCGUUCGCGUGUACAUGCUCCGCUCCUUUUAUUGUGCGUGGUUUUUACUGUCAGCGUACAAACAAUUCUUCUUAGAGGGAUAGGCGGCUUCUAGCCGCACGAGAUUGAGCAAUAACAGGUCUGUAAUGCCCUUAGAUGUUCUGGGCCGCACGCGCGCUACACUGAAGGAAUCAACGUGUCCUCCCUGUCCGAAUGGACCGGGUAACCCGCUGAACCUCCUUCGUGCUAGGGAUUGGGGCUUGCAAUUAUUCCCCAUGAACGAGGAACUCCCAGUAAGCGCGAGUCAUAAGCUCGCGUGAUAC